RNAcentral lists this ribosomal RNA (497 nucleotides) under uncultured bacterium. RNAcentral's name for it is "partial 16S ribosomal RNA". It matches the Rfam family "Bacterial small subunit ribosomal RNA", at positions 28 to 507 of the family's 1533-position model. The record is from RNAcentral.
GAUGAACGCUAGCGGCGUGCCUAAUACAUGCAAGUCGAGCGAACGGACGAGAAGCUUGCUUCUCUGAUGUUAGCGGCGGACGGGUGAGUAACACGUGGAUAACCUACCUAUAAGACUGGGAUAACUUCGGGAAACCGGAGCUAAUACCGGAUAAUAUUUUGAACCGCAUGGUUCAAAAGUGAAAGACGGUCUUGCUGUCACUUAUAGAUGUAUCCGCGCUGCAUUAGCUAGUUGGUAAGGUAACGGCUUACCAAGGCAACGAUGCAUAGCCGACCUGAGAGGGUGAUCGGCCACACUGGAACUGAGACACGGUCCAGACUCCUACGGGAGGCAGCAGUAGGGAAUCUUCCGCAAUGGGCGAAAGCCUGACGGAGCAACGCCGCGUGAGUGAUGAAGGUCUUCGGAUCGUAAAACUCUGUUAUUAGGGAAGAACAUAUGUGUAAGUAACUGUGCACAUCUUGACGGUACCUAAUCAGAAAGCCACGGCUAACUACGUG